AUGCCAUGUAUGCUUGAUCAGGGUUUUCAACAAUGGGAGAUAAAGUGCCAUCAUAAUCAAGAAAAAUCACUACUUGUUUCAUCUUGGCAGCACUCAUAAUCUCUUCAAACACACCCAAUGCUGAAGGAUGCUUCAUCUGUUUCAACAAAAACAAACUUCUAAAUAAAUUCACCUUUGUUGAAAAAACAUUUUUUUUUUUGAAAAACUAAGAACAACCACUCACAAUCCAAUCUUUUUUCUCUUGAUUGUUUUCGGAUGAGCUUCGGGUAGGAGAAGAAGCUCUCAUAGCAUCCACCCAGCCAAUAUUUUUGCCCACGGUGGCCGCUUCGAUACUUUUUGGGAACUUGUUUCUUGAAAACAGGGUGAUGUUGUAAGGGGAGGGGGAGAAGAGGGAUGAAUUGUUAACCGCGGCGGCCGCGGUUAUCGCCAUGGCAAUGGCGGAUUGCGUGUCGGAAACCGCCACAUUUGGAUUGGUCAUUUGGGUGUUUAAGUUGAUGAACUUAGAAUAGGGAAGAUGGGAAGAGGUGAAGAUGGGGAGGUUUGAAGGGGGAAUUUAUAAGAAGAUUUCAUUUCAUGGAGGAAGCAUCCCUCUGCCUUUUUGAUGGACUAAAAAGGUUUAAUUUUAUUGUUUUUAUUAUAGUUUUAUUAUAAUUAAUAAGAAGAAUUUAGAACAAGUUAAUUGGAUUCUCUAGCUUUUUAUAUUCCUGAGUAUUUGUUUAUUUCUUAUUUCUUAUUUUUUAUUUAAUAGAGCUACAGAAGCAUCAUAUUUGUAUCAUAUAUGUCUAAUUUAAUUGGUAUAUAUAUUUAUGUAUAAAGAAUUAUU
This 823-nucleotide long non-coding RNA is filed under the name Helianthus annuus (common sunflower). Its description in RNAcentral is "hypothetical non coding rna". Lineage: Eukaryota; Viridiplantae; Streptophyta; Magnoliopsida; Asterales; Asteraceae. The record is from RNAcentral.